AAACAAUAAACAUAAAAAAGUCCCUUUUAAUUAUACAUUGACAUUUAGUUUGAUUUAUUAUAAUUAUAAAUUAUUACCAUUAGGUGGUAAUUGUCCUGCUGAAAGAGAUGGUCAUACAACUCAUUUAAUAUCAUUAAAAAAUGGAUUAUCUAUAUUUUUAUUUGGUGGUAGUAAUAAUAAUAUUUUUUAUAAUGACAUUUAUUUAUUAGAUAUGGAAACACGUAAAUGGUAUAAAAAAACAACGAAAGGGAAAAUUCCACUACCAAGAGACCAACAUUGUUCUGUAGUAUAUCCUGCAAAAAGUGAGCAUAUAAGAGCAGACAAAAUGCAUUUGACUGAAGGUAUUAUAAUUUUUGGAGGUAAAUGUUUAUAUAAUAAUAAUAUAGUAAAUUUAAAUGACAUGUGGAUGUAUCUAUUUCAGUAUAACAUGUGGAUACGUAUUAACUAUUUGGGUGAAGAAGCACCCAUAGGUAGAUAUGGUAUGAAUAUGGUAUGGUCAGAUGUUAACACUUUGUGUUUAUUUGGUGGUGAAUAUUUUUAUAUCAAUAAGACUUCAGCAGAGAGAAAAUUGUUAGAUGAUAUGUGGCUGUUCAAGUUGUGUAGUAUAGGGUUUAGUACCAAUGUAUCAGCGACUACGUAUACUACAUAUAAGGGAGGAAUAGGAGGAGAGCAUGUCAUCAUGUCUAGUAAUAAAGAGGAAGGAUAUCAUGCAAUAUAUGACUCUUGUGGAAAGUUACAAAAUGAGUAUGCUUCAUAUGUAAAAAAAAAUAAGAAAGUUGGUUUGAGUAAAGGACAGAAUUUGUAUAAUUGCUGUGUGAAUAAUGAUACUGAUAGUGGUGGUGGUGAUGGUGGUGGUGCUGGUGGUGGUGCUGGUGGUGGUGGUGGUGCUGGUACUGGUACUGGUACUGGUACGGGCUCAGGUUCAAGUCCAAGUCCAGGUCCAGGUCCAGGUCCAAGUCCAGGUCCAGGUCCAGGUCCAGGUCCAGGUCCAGGUCCAGGUCCAAGUCCAGGUUCAAGUGCAGAUGAGGUUGCUAUUACUGAUGUUGGUAUUGAUACUACUACUGUUAGCACUACUACCACUGCCAAUAACAAUGGUAAUAAUACGAAUGCCGUACAACAGUCGUCUGAUACAAACCUCAGCAACAACAGUAGUGGUAAUAGUAAAAGUGCCAGAACCGACACGAUUAGAAGCGGUGCGACUAGAAGCGGUGCGACUAGAAGCGGUGCGACUAGAACCGACACGACUAGAACCGACACGACUAGAACCGACACGAUUAGAACCGGCAUGACUAGAACCGGUACGAACAAAACCGGUACGACUAAAACCGGUACGACUAAAACCGGUACGAUUAAAACCGGUACGACUAAAACUGACACAACAAAUAACAACAAUACAAUUAAUACAAUAAAAAUUACAGGGGAAUGGGCAAGAGAAAAAUAUACAGGAGGCAUAGGAUGCCGAUCUAACUACUGUAGUCUGUUUAUCACACAAAGACAUCAAGAUUCGAAAGGAUGUGAGCCAAGAACUGUUGAAAAAUUAAUGCUUUUAUGUAAUGGUAUAACCUACUCAUAUAAAGAUAACAUAUUACGAAUUGUAUCUACAGAUGAGAUUUUUGUUUAUUUUUUUUCACAAAAGAAAUGGUUUUUAUUAAGAGGUAAAUUAUUUAAUGAAGAGUUUAUAUUUAAUGCGAGACAAAGACAUGUAGGUUGUUUUUUUGAAUCAAAAAAUGUUUUAGGUAAAUCUAAUAAAAGUCCAGUCCCAUGUAUAUUUAUUCACG
RNAcentral lists this long non-coding RNA (1778 nucleotides) under Piliocolobus tephrosceles (Ugandan red Colobus). RNAcentral describes it as "lncRNA (ENSPTEG00000009934.1)". The record is from RNAcentral. Lineage: Eukaryota; Metazoa; Chordata; Mammalia; Primates; Cercopithecidae.